AUUAUAAUAUUUGUUGGGUAUAAAAUACCCCCCAGCCGAAGUUCAUGACAGGAAUGACCCUCCAGGGAUUCUACUGACUUCCGACCUUCGACGACAUCUCUCCGAACCUCUCUAGCGGCCGAGCCUCCGCAACACUCCCAAGUUCUGCCGACGGAUAAACCCCCACCAGCGUCGACCAGAUUCUUCGCGACGGACGGACUCCAUCCGAGUUUCCACGAU
This 219-nucleotide long non-coding RNA is filed under the name Elaeis guineensis (African oil palm). Its description in RNAcentral is "long non-coding RNA (EGUI_LNC076983)". The record is from RNAcentral. Lineage: Eukaryota; Viridiplantae; Streptophyta; Magnoliopsida; Arecales; Arecaceae.